AGCUUAAGAGCGUAUGGAAAAAAAAUCUAAAGAAAAAAGAAAAGACACUUAAUCUAAGCAAUUUUAGAUUGUUGUUACUAGAUACUUUCAUUUGUGGUCGUUCCAUUGCACUGUAAUCAAGGAAAAAUCUUUUCUUGCUGCUACUACAUUGCCACCUAAUCUAAAAUCCUUAGAUAUUGGCUACAAUUGUUUAAGCAAAUAGAUAAAAUACUAAAGAAGAUAAUGUAUGAUUUGAUAAAAUAUAUCUAAUGUAGUGUGAUAUUUGGCAAUAUCUAUAGAGAGACGUAGCACAAAUUUAAGUUUCAUCAAAUGUGGCCACAUCACAUAGUUCAACAAUUACAAUAGCCUGCCAUUGAUGGCAAUCAAUAGAAAGAAAAAAAAAAUUAAUUCAUCUUUGGACC
RNAcentral lists this long non-coding RNA (401 nucleotides) under Physcomitrium patens. Its description in RNAcentral is "long non-coding RNA (PPAT_LNC012584)". The record is from RNAcentral. Lineage: Eukaryota; Viridiplantae; Streptophyta; Bryopsida; Funariales; Funariaceae.